RNAcentral lists this ribosomal RNA (468 nucleotides) under uncultured bacterium. RNAcentral describes it as "partial 16S ribosomal RNA". It matches the Rfam family "Bacterial small subunit ribosomal RNA", at positions 28 to 507 of the family's 1533-position model. The record is from RNAcentral.
GACGAACGCUGGCGGCGUGCUUAACACAUGCAAGUCGAACGGAAAGGCCCUGCUUUUGUGGGGUGCUCGAGUGGCGAACGGGUGAGUAACACGUGAGUAACCUGCCCUUGACUUUGGGAUAACUUCAGGCAACUGGGGCUAAUACCGGCUAGGAGCUCCUGCUGCAUGGUGGGGGUUGGAAAGUUUCGGCGGUUGGGGAUGGACUCGCGGCUUAUCAGCUUGUUGGGGGGGUAGUGGCUUACCAAGGCUUUGACGGGUAGCCGGCCUGGGAGGGUGAGCGGCCACAUUGGGACUGAGAUAAGGCCCAGACUCGUACGGGAGGCAACAGAGGAGAAUAUUGCACAAUGGGCGGAAGCCAGAUGCGGCAACGCCGCGUGCGGGAAGACGGCCUUCGGGUUGUAAACCGCUGUCGCCUGUGACGAAGCGUGAGUGACGGUAAUGGGUAAAUAAGCACCGGCUAACUACGUG